CAGAGAGAGGAUUUAUGUGCAUUUCAUUCUGUUUGAAGAAAAGCCAUCGGUCGUGAAGCCUACAGCAAGAGGCAGAGGAAAAUUCCGGGUUUUUUUUGGUUUUAUUGUUUUGGUUUUUCACAGAGCCAAAGAGUGGAGUUGAACUCCCAACCGACAAAGCUCUUCCUCAGAAGGAAGACUGAACAUCUGCAUCAUGCUUUUUUUAUUAAAAUUAUUUCUUCAGAGAAAAUGCCUCUUAACCCCCAAGGUUUUUCCGCUGUGGAGCUGAGGCAACUUUUGGGUGUGAAAAUCGUGGGCUGGGUCACCUAUUCCUUCAAAAAUCAAUGUUUUGGGCAAGUUUACACCUCAUUGUUUCACACUCAAACCGGGAAAACCAGAAAAGCGCUUUCACUCCAAACUUUUCCACCACUCCCCCCGAAAUUACCACUGAACCCUAAUUAACCCCUGGUGUCUUUGAAGCGAAGGCGUUGUCAGGAGCAGAAAUCGGGGCUCGGAGCUCUCCUAAAGCAGAGCCCCCGGAGCCGAGCGCUCCCCCAGCCCCUCCUGGGAGGAUUUUGGCUGCAGGAUGCUGCGCUGAGCUACUCCCACCGCCCGGGCCCUCCCCCUGGCCCGGCUGGGGCUGCACCUUUUCUGCCCUGCCCAGGAGCGAGCCCUGCACUCCUCCUGUCCGUCUGUCCUGCCCAGGAGCGAGCCCUGCGCUCCUGCUGUCCGUCUGUCCUGCCCAGGAGCGAGCCCUGCGCUCCUCCUGUCCGUCUGUCCUGCCCAGGAGCGAGCCCUGCGCUCCUGCUGUCCGUCUGUCCUGCCCACACCUCCGCCGAACAAAGGAGCUCUGGGCACAUUCCCAGGACCCACAGCAAGGGAACUCCAGGACGGGUCCUUGGCGCGCGGGGGCUGCUGCCAAAAUCCAUCUUCCUCCUCCUCCUCCUCCUCCUGCUGCUGCUGGUGCUGCUGUGGCCGGACAGAGCUCCCGGGGCGCUCCUGGACGCGGGGCCGGCAUGGGGGGCUGGGGGCUGGCCGGGCUCCUGCUGGGCUGCGGGGCCCUGCUGGCCGCGGCACAGUACGAGGGCGACCUGCAGACGGACAGACUGACGGCCUACGAGGACAGACCCCCGAGCAGGGUGAGGAGAAGGGGCCAGGACUCGCUGCGAGGGUGAGUUGGAGCUCUUGGUGAAGCGGGUAAAGCGGGCUUUGGGUGGUUGGCACAGCUGGGCUGGCAGGGCUGCCGAUUCCCUGAGCUCGGGAAGGAGGAGCUGGGGCUGGGGGGAUCCCAUGGGAGCAGUGCUGGGCACUGAGCUGCUUUUGGGGGCACUGAGCUGCUUUUGGG
Molecule: long non-coding RNA, 1324 nt
Filed under: Junco hyemalis (dark-eyed junco)
Lineage: Eukaryota; Metazoa; Chordata; Aves; Passeriformes; Passerellidae
Description: lncRNA (ENSJHYG00000007180.1)
Source: RNAcentral